Molecule: unclassified non-coding RNA, 253 nt
Filed under: Alphaproteobacteria bacterium
Lineage: Bacteria; Pseudomonadati; Pseudomonadota; Alphaproteobacteria
Description: contains 16S-23S intergenic spacer region
Rfam family: Bacterial small subunit ribosomal RNA
Source: RNAcentral
UACGAAUGGAGCGAGCGUUGUUCGGAAUCACUGGGCUUAAAGCGUACGUAGGCGGCUAUGCAAGUCAGGAGUGAAAGCCCAGGGCUCAACCUUGGAAUGUCUCUUGAAACUGCAUGGCUCGAGUCCCGGAGAGGUUGGCAGAAUUUCGAGUGUAGAGGUGAAAUUCGCAGAUAUUCGAAGGAAUACCAGUGGCGAAGGCGGCCAACUGGACGGGAACUGACGCUGAGGUACGAAAGCGUGGGGAGCAAACAGG